This is a long non-coding RNA of Lagopus muta (rock ptarmigan), 11475 nucleotides long. RefSeq lists it as uncharacterized. Lineage: Eukaryota; Metazoa; Chordata; Aves; Galliformes; Phasianidae. The record is from RefSeq and is a predicted model, not a curated record. The transcript has 7 exons.
AUUACUGCAGAGAAUGUGGCAUCCUACAGGCCGCACGGUCGGAAUACCUGUUCUGCCCCUCCUAGAAGAACUGCAGCUGAAGCAGCUCAGGGUAGAAGAUGACCCCAGCUCUAUGGGCCAGCUGCAGUCUGCGGAAUUCUGGAGUGCUCUCAAAGGGGAUGUCCUACUGUGCUGCUUCCAAGCUGGACCUCCCUGCGGCACAGCCUGCGGGCAGAGCAGCGUUCGGUCGCCGUGCUCUGGAAGGAGUUACAGGAAGGUAUGGUAAGGCCUUUGAAUGGUUAAUGUUAACCUUUAACUCCUCAUUCUGCAGUCACGAUAUUGAGACAGAGAGGGGACACUUGCUUAAAUUGGCUUAUGUGCAGUUUGUUGCAGUAAAAUAGUUAGUAAAAUAAUUGCUUAUCAUGGGAGCAACAAAGUUUGCAGGGGAGUUGAGAUGUAGAAAAACUUGCAGUAGCAGAUUUUGCCUGUUCUGACCAUUCCUAUCCAAUGUCCAAGUUGAACACGUAUGCGAUGAAUGUGUUUCUGCUGCUAGAUAGCAUUCAUGAUAUUAAUACUUAGCUGAUGUUUAUUUUCAGGCUCUCUAUUUUAAGAAACUGACUCAGAUUUACAUGGGAUGAGUGCUUCUGGUAACAAAGCUCUUAAUGCAGAGCCCAGUUACUGGCAACGUUGGUGUGUUUUGUUGUAUAAACAACUUGCAUGGCACAAUAUCUAAAAACAGCCACUAGAACUGUGAACAAGGCACUGGCAUUUGUGCGCCCGUACAGCUUGAUUUGUAGUUGAGCUCUUUCUCUGUGUCCUGAAGGGCUGCAGUUGCAGCCAAGAAGGAUGCAGAGACCUCUGCUUGCAUGCUUUCAAAAGCUUUGAACUGCUGCAGUUCUAUUCUUGAUGACUGCUCUGUGCAGUGCUGUCUGGAUGGGCUCCAAGCUGCAGAAAUGGGUGGGGAGUUGAGACAAGGAUUGAUUUAGGAAGAGCCCUUACUGCAUGGGAGUCAUGUCAAGAGGAGUCAUAGUACUGCAGCAAUGCUAGAGGAAGUGUGGCCAGGGUAAAGAGAGAUGUGUCAUCACUGCUGUCCCUGUGCAGUUGCUUAUUUGUGAAGGCAGAUGCUGCUGCACGGACUUCCCUCCCUAUGCAGCACUGCAACCUGGGCACCCGAACUGGACCUCAUUGCUGGCUAGCUGGCAGUUUCAUUUCUUCUGCAGAUAUGAAGCAUGCAACAAAAAUAAAUACCUGCAAUCUGGGAAUCUAAGGAGGGAGGAAGAAAAGAUCUCUUGAACAGCUUGAGCAAAGUGACUGUUCUCCUUGUGAACUGGUAGGAAAAAGCAUGAUGAGCAACUCCUGCUGUGCUUCUGAAGGACUCCUGCAUCUGCACUCAUCCUUACUGCUGCAGCCCUGUGACCUGGGUGCCUGCAGCCCUGGUGGAAUAUCUGCCAUGGAAUGAACAUGCAUGUGGUGAUGCCUCAGGGGCUGCUGGCUGCCUGUCCCCCAGCAGAGGGAGGCAGCCGUAUGCGGAGUUGCGUGCAUGCAGCAGCUCUGUGCUCUGUCAACCUUCCUCUAAUUAAAAAAAAAAAAAAAAUCCCUCACCAAAAAGAGUCAUAUCUCUUGCUGCUUAAUGAUAAAGCCUUUGAAUAGCAGAGAUUUGCUACCUGUAAUUGCUCCAGCUAAUCCUACCAGCAAGCACUGUCCUUCACCUCGGCUACUAUUCUUAGUUCAGUCCCCGUUGGAUGCUUGACAGGGUAAAUGCUAAGGAAAGAUUAAUUGAAUGAGAGAAUUUGAAAGUAUUUUCAUGUAAAGCCAUGCAAGAGAUUGAUGGAGACCCUGCUCUCCUUCUUUUCUGCAAGAGGUGAAGUGGCAGUGUGGUGAGUCAUGUCUUGGAUACAGGAUGGAGAUCAACAAACUGGCUGCACUCUGUGGAGAGAGUAGGUAAUCUCCCUGUACUUACAUAUCUUUCUUAGCUAGCAUUAAAACCUGCUGCCAACAUCUGACGCGGUAGAAGUUUUUAAUUAAUGCAUGAUAUUGUGAUUAGGGAUAACUGUGCAGGUAAUAUAUGAGUUCAGGUCAAUCUCCUGUUGUAUCAUAGUUCUUUGAGAGUGGAAAGGAUCCACUGAAGUAAUCUGACAGCUGAGCAGUGAUAAAUCAUUUAGCUAGUCUAAUAGCUUGCUGGGUUGAACCAGAGUGCUGGAAAGGUGAAUCACCUUCAUUUGAAGAUUAAAUAAACCACUAUUGGCUAGCUACUGAAUUUCAGUCCCUAUCGUCCUGUCAGAGUUUCUCUGUUUAGUUGAAGCUGCAUCUCUGCAGUUGGCCUUCAGCUGGGGUUUUUCUGCCUCCAUCUGCUGCAGUUGUGCAGCAGCAUUCAGCAUUUCUCUCUGAGAAGUGCUUCCUACCCUGUAAGCAGGUUGCCUGAAGGCAGCUUGGUUUAGCAAUAAGGGCACUCACUGUCAGUGAGAUGGGUUCAAGUGCUUCUUAAGAGUCAUAGGGCCUUAAACUCUCAUCAAGUGUAAGCUGAGCUGUAACUACUGUUAGCUGCUUUCUGAGCUCUGGAGAGCUUCCACUGGUGAGACCCGUCCUGUAUGAGCCUGGGAAGGAUUAUGGCUCUGAAGUGGCAACAGCUCUUUCAGGUUAGAGGCAGCAGUUGCCCUUUGUGGGGCAGGAUGCCAAUCUGCCUUCAAAAACUGUUCAGUGAUGGUGCCAGCAUGCCUGUGAGAAGCCUUGGAUUGCUGGCUUCCAGAUAUGUGCACUUUUUAAUGAUGUUGUUAAGCUUAAUCUUUCUAUUCAACUAUGAAGUGUCUGAACUGUGCGGGCAGCCAUCAGAAUUCCCUUGUUCUGUGGUGGCUGCAAAUAAAGUGUAUUCACAGCAUUUAGACGUCCUUUGGUUAUGUCAGACUAAUACCCACCUGUUCUUGCCAAGUCUCAAGCAUUUGGCUUCAAACCCUGCAUUCAGAGAUAGCUUCCAGGCCUGCCUUAACCUGUGGUGAUACCAUAAUGCCAACCCCAAGGAACCAGCAGCCUGGAGCUGGCUCAGCCUCAGGUGUGUGCCUGGGGAUGCUCCUCUGCAGCUGCAGCCUGGGUGAGGCGAUGCAGGGAUGAACAGCUGGGCUGCUCUACGGGACCAGGGGAUCACAGCACAGAGUGGUUGGGACAACUUCAUGCACACAAGAGUAGAGAUUAAUCCAAGCUGUCUCAAUGCAGUGUGGUUCCCUCAGCCACCUCUCAUCUUUCUAGCUAUUGUUGCCUUUUUAAUUUUUUGCAAGCUUUGUGUUCAGUUGGGCUAUCAGAAUCAGCUCUUGCUGGACACUGCCUUGCUGAGUGGGGGCACUCAACCUCUGGUGAAAGCUUUGGUGUUUGUGGCACUUUCUAAAUUGAAGCUGCAGUCAAUUGCUGUUUGUAAAUAUGCCAACAAGUAAGUACUUGUUUAUAUAAAAACUGUGGGAAUUGUUAGCUUAGAGGCAGAGAUAAGACAUUUUUCAUUCUUUGGCAAACCAUUGCCUUGCUAACAGAGAUGCUGGCAUUUCAGGGCAGCUGGGCACAAACAUUCUCCUACAUUCAGCCCUUUUCUUGCUUCUAGAACAGACUUUUUUUCCCCCUACGCUUGUCACUCUGGCCAAGAGGACUUAGAAUCUAAGGGAGAAUGGUAAAUGUCUGGGCUGGAGCCUGUUUUAUAAACAUUUUUAUUCUUGCCCCUCUUCAAAAUAGGGAACUUGCAAAUUUCUUUUCCUAACGUACAGACUGAGACCAAGAGGCUGUGCAGUGCUGGGGAAGCAGAGCUCAGUCAGUGCAGCCUGACAGGGUCUGGCUGAGCUUGCAAAAGAGUGACUUGUCAAAUUAAUUAUUUUUUAAUAAAUAAAACCUUCGGAGCAGCCUGCAGACCAACAUUGUAGCGAAGGGUUCAUCUGGAGGAACUGAAAGCAACAGGGUUGAGAGGAAGCAGAUGCGGGACGUUCUUGCAUCCACUGUGCAACAGCAAUUAACAGCUGUUGGGGAUCGAGGUGCCCCGGCUCUCCUGCAGCCUGGCACGGGAGCCGGGAUCGCAGUUUGGGGCGGGCUGGCAGGGAAAAGCCUUCGCCCCCCUGCGGCCGGUGGAUGCGGCACGAGUCCCAGUAGUGUCAUCAGGGACCGCGCUGUGACCGGAGCUGCGUUACGUUGCUUUGCUAAGGGAGAGUCCCGCAUUCAUCCCCACGUGGCUUUCCUCGGGGGAGAUGAAAGCCAGCCCUCGCUGCCACGCGGUGAGCCGGGGCGGGCAGCGGGGCUGGAGCUGUGCGAGCCGGCAGCCUGGGGGAGAGGCUUCCGUGGGGCUUGUCCGGGCUUGUCGGGCCUCGGCCCGGCCCCAGCCGUGCGCUCGCAGGGAUCGCCCCGCUCGAUACGGACGAGCCCCAGGUGCGGGCGGUGCCGCGCUGCCCGCCUGCUUUGCUGCACGGGAUGUGAGCGGCGCGGAGGUAGCUAUUGGAUUACACGGGAGGUGAAGGCUUGCUGGAAAGGAGUGGCUCAGAUGAGAAUUGAAGACACUAGGAGUCAUUUCAGAUCAGAGGUAAGCCAGUACCAGCCCAUUGGAGCCCAUUGAAGUACAUCUGUGUGCACCAGCGCAGGGCUGUGCUCUGGUGUUUGGUGGUGUUUACCAUUCUGCCUAUCGGGACAUCUCAGUGAGGUGGAUGGCUGUGAAGUUUUUCCUCUGUAUUUUGAAAAGAGGGCCGUGCUUAACUUUUUCACCCAUGAUACAAAAUCGUGUAAUUUGUGAGCAGGAUGUACCUCUGAUCUGUGCAGUCUGUUUUGGUAUUUUAUAUGCUGUGUCUAAGUGUGGUUUGGAGUUCCCACUUAGCCAAAGAGAGCUUGGUUGAUUACUGACUUAAUAACUUCUAUGUGGCAUGGGAUGCUUUUUAAUUUUUCAUUUAGUAGACUAGAGAUAAGAUGGGUCGUUUUGCAGGAGCCGAAAGGGAACAUGUACUGCUUGGUUACAAUGGCCAUUCUAGGGUAGCUUCCCUAGCUGUGCUGCAGGCAACACAGUGCCCUUCCCCAGCCUUGCUAUCAGUGCGCAUCUCAUCUGCUCGCACAGAUGGGAAAGCCAGAAAGUGCUGAAAGCAGUCGUGGUCUUCACAUCUCCCCCGUGGUUUGGUGGUGGAUGGGGAGCACCUUUCUGCAUAGAGGAUGAUGGCAACUUCUGUCUGUCUGUGUUUGGAAGAGAGGAAAGAGGCAAGUUCAGGAGGUUGAGAGAUCCUUCAUUCUGGCAAAGGAGGAAGCUGUGCUUGACAAGCAGGAAAGGACAGAACUGCUGUGACAAAGUGAAAUGUGUGCUGUGAGUCACUCUGGCGGUGUCUCCUUUGUCCCAGCAGAUGGAAUUGCAGGGGGCAUGUCAGAAACUUCUUGAUUUGGUUAACCUUGUCUUUCUCAGGCCUACCUAGGCUGUAAAACCACGGGCUUCUUGACUGGCAUGUGGAGGAGGCAUGAGCUGCUGACAGCUCUUGGAUCCGGGUUUAUGAUCUAUGGCGAAUGCUCAUGCAUUGCUUGGUUAAUGAGUCACGGGUGCUUAGGUGUGGUGCACAGCCCUGAGAGCUGCAGUGCACUGUGCUCUGCCCACCUCACAUACUGAAUAAGCAGGACUCCAGGACAGCCUGGUGUGCUUUGCUUUGCUGCAGAAUGGAGCCAGCCAGGGGAUGGAGUAACCUUACUUCCAGGAGCUAUUUUAGUAUUACAGCCUUGGAUAGAUGGUCUUUUUCAGGAGUCAUUGCUGGAGAGCAUUCUGCCCGUGCCACGUUUCCAGAGAUUAAUGCCACUUGUGUGGAUGUGAGAGCUAACUCAGCUGCUAGCAGAGCUGCGAGCUGUUUCUGUAAGCUCCAAAACAGCAGAUUUGUAAAGCCCUUCUCUAAGAUACCAUGCAGGAAGAUCCAGUGUUACAGCAUUUGACAAAUGGUCAUGGAGCAUAUAUGUUAGCUUCUGCUAAAGUCUUUGGGUGAUGAAAUUCAAUUUGUGUGGGUUUUGUUUAAGUUAGAUAAACUUUGGGAGUGAGGGAGCAUUGUGUAAAGGAGAGGGAAGAGAUAAUAUGUGGGAAGUUCAGUGUGUGAAACACCAAGGUGUGUCAGUUCUCUUGAUAACACAGGUGCUGGCUGUCCUGACGGUGAGACUGGGCUGUUUUAAGUAGAUUGCCAUUGAAGUGAAGAUAUGAGUGCUAGACAUCUCUGAGCUUCUUCAGGAAAGAGGAAACAAGGCCAUGAAAAGUUCCUUAAAUGGUGUUUGGAGGUGAAGAGCAGGAUAUACUAGGAUGCAGAAAUGGUGAGCAUUUUGCUUCACAGAUAAAGAAAAGUGAAAUCAAAAGAUAAGGUGCGCAGAAUCCUGGAAUGGACCUUAAAGAUCAUCCAGUUCCAACCCUUCUGCCAUGGGCCUCAUCUAAACUGCGUGUGGGGCAUCCACAGCUUCUCUGGGUACAGCCUUACCACCUGCAUAGUGAAGAACUUCCUUACUUCUAAUGUAAGUCUACCUUCUCUUAGAUGAAAGCUGUUACUCCUUGCCCUGUCACUGUGCUGCCUGGGAGCAGACCCCUCUCUAGCUUUAUUUUAGCCCCCGUUAGGAACUGGAAGGCUGCUGUAGUGUCUGCUCCUACCUGGCAAAUGAAUUGCUUAACUCUGCUGUGGAGGAAGGUACAAGUCCAGUGCGUGGUGUGUGGGAGGGUUUCUCCUGCACUGUAUGUGGAGGAGCUCAGUAAGCAAGGUGUAUGUUAAUUCCAUGGCUUUUUUUUUUGUUUUGAUGUGGGGAUUUAAUAUUGCAUAAGCCAGUGAGAUUAGCAAGGCCCAGCAAGACAUGCAAGUGAAGAUUGAUUUGGAUGAGAUGUGGUAGAUCUUAAUUCCCAUGCCUUUUAAGGGGUGGGAGAAGAUUGUUACUCUGAAGGAAACAGCGGUAUCCUUAAGUGCCCCAUGCUAUGAGAGCUUUAGUGUCAGUAUUGCUGGAUGGAUGAGGUGAGGUGAUUCUGGCUGAUAGACACAGCUGUCCUGUAGGUCACAGUAAUGUAACCUGCACUGCUUUCCUCAAUUUUCUCUACUAUAUCUCAGUUUCUCAGAGCGCAGAAAGGUUUGUGGGAAGAAGCUGCUGAGGCAGAUCUGGCUUCUAUGUGAUCAGGGGCUACAAAACUGCAGCUUGUUCCCUGCUCAGCUGCAGUAAGUGAGCCGGUGACCAGAGGCUGUGUUGCUCUGAGCUGAGUGGCCAGCUGAGAACCAGGAGGGCUUGGAAUGCGGCAGGCUGGGGCUCUGCCUUAUGCCCGCUGAUCUGCCUGCCGCUUACCCAUCCUGGGCAAUUUUUGCCUGUCUUUGUGCUUUACAGAAAGGAGUUGGUAGUGUGCUUUGCUUUCCCUUAGUUCUGCUUUGUUUCAGACAGCCUGUGACUCACUGCGAAGCUAUUGCCCCGUGUUCCUACAGCCUUGAGGCUGGCCUGGUGGCAGAAGGUGGGGUGGAGUUGCAGCUCUAUCAAGAAAGCCGGAACUGCCUGAGUUAGCAGUGGCUCUGAAUAACAAAGCAGGUGUCUGCACCUCCCUGGAGCACAGCGUCCCAACGCCGGCAGCGGGAGGCUGGAGUCUGUGCAGAGCUCCGAUGGACUUGGGGUGCUGCUGCCUGCAGGAUCACCUCCUACAGAACUGUAAGGAACAGGUAAAUCUCUCCUCUAGGGUUCUGUCAGUGCAUCUCACAAGGAAAGCUUCUCCUGUACGAUUAAUUGAAGGCAAACGGGAGGUGUUAAGCAGUUUGUCUUGUACUUGGGGGAGUAAUAUUCUGUAGGAAGCUGGGAGAUGAGAAGUGACAGAAGUAUGAUUGUGUUGAGCAAGCAUUGUAGGAGUUGUAACGUAGAACUGUUUCAUGGACAGCUUGUUUGCAUCCCUCAGGUGUUACAGUAGGAGAUAUUAUAAUAAAAACUAAUUUGUAAAAUUGAGGAGAAACUAACCCCAAACCCAAGAUCUGCAUAUUGUAGGGAUAUGUGUUAAAUCAAAGUCAGAAUUUAUCAAAUGUAUUAUCUUAAAAAGAGGAACCUGUCUUUUAUUACAAGUCAGGAAAACUGUUUGGAGAAAUAAGAUGUUUACUCUUCUACCUGAAGGCUGGUAAUAGCAAAGCCAAGCAGCUUUAGGAGAUGGAACAGAAUUUGCUCUUGUUCUGCAGCCGCUGCUGGAGGUUUGCUACAGCUUGAAGAUGGUUUUUCUUGGCAUGGAAGUUCAUCCUAGUCAGCAGAAUAGGCUCAGCUAGACACAGCUUUUGAUUCUGUGGUGUAGAAAUGGACAACGUUGCUGAAAUACCUGUACGAAGAUUGAGUCUCCUGAUCUAGUUUAGAAAUUAGUCUUGCUUUAGGUAGGCCCUUGAGCUGGCUGAUGUGCAGGAGUGUCUUCUAACAUAAAUAUUUCUGAACUUUGAUAAGUGUCAUUUAAUCGUUUCAUUUGGAUUUCCUCCUGUUGCUGAGUUUCACCCAGAAGUUUCACAGGUGAAAGUUGAAGCUUUGCUUUGCCUUAAAACAAGAGUACUUGAAUCCCCAGUGAGAGAGGAUCUGCUUGCAUCAGCUUCCAGCAGUUGUUUCCACCUUCAGAAAAACCCUGGGUAAUUGUUCAGGUAUCAACUCAAGGCUUGUGAGUGGGUCAGUUGCAGCUUAAAACUCCCCUUGACAAAAGGAAGAUGACAAUGCUGGGAGUGAACUUGAAAUAAAUGUGCUUGAUGAAAUGCAGCUUAUGGUAUCGCAUAGCUCAGUGAUGACAGUGAUUCUGCAAAUCUUACCUGACUGGACUUUUUACCUUUCUUGGAAUGCAGUAUUUCCGUAACGGGAGAGAAUUACCGUCCUCCACACCCCUCAGCUUGCUUUAUAGUGGUGCUUUCUUUACAAGCCAAUUCAGUGUACUGUUAUGUGAUCCAGCAAACUUGUUCCUGCUGCUUUGUCACCCACAGGGUAACACUGAGGUCACUGUGAAGUGAAGCAAGUCUUAUGUUAUCUAGUCUAAAGGGGAAACUGCCUUAUGAGGGGGAAUUUGUAGCCCUUACCUGGUAAAUACAGGUAAAAGUGUGAUGUGUAAGCUUCCAGUGACACCCCUGGCCUUGAGAUUGUACUCCAGCAUGCUAACCUGCUCUAUGCUGUCGUUGUUUCCAGUGUCAAUUCAUAAAGCAGAAUGCUGUCCCUGUGUACACAAUAACAGUAAAUUUGCCUGAUACUUGGACUAAAGAGAGACGAAAAAGAUUUGGUGUUGCACAAGCUGCUGAACCAAGAGAGGUCCUCAGCUGAUUGACCAGCAUUUCUGUACAGUUCUCCCAGCUCCAGACUAGCCAGACUGCUUGGUUUCCCUGUGAGACUUCAAAGCUAGCUGUCCAUGCCCUCCCACAGCAGUAGAAAGUUUCAACUGAGUGUUUCAUUUGUGCUUUUCCUAAAGCAAUGGAACUCCUACAGGAUGAAAAGGCUUACAGUCAAGAAGUGAUUUGUUAAUUAAUCGCUGCUGUCUUCUGGGACACAGGGAAUGGAGCCGCUGUUCUGUUAGGCAGUGCCUGUGUCACACAAGACUCCCUAGGUGUAAUAACCUGCUUGUGAGGCUAUGAUGCAAGAGUUGAGGAACUGCUUUGCCCUGAAGGUUGCCUUCUCACAUGCUCAGAUGUUUCCAGGAACUGAGGAGUGCAGGAUUGCUAGAUAACACCACAUCUAGAGCAUCUCAGGCUGUUCUACAUGGAUGAUAGGGAAGUCAAAUGGCUUUAAUACAUACUCUUGCCUUCUGUGAAUGAGAAGAAAGGAGAAGACUGAACAUGCUGCCCUAACUUCUCUCCUUGCGUGAUGCCAGCUACGUGAACAUAAUUGCACCAAUUACAGGGAGUUGUGCAACUUUACGAACUGUCUGUAAAAGUUCUGCACUUAGAAGAUGGGUGGCCAGAAGGGAGCAGAGUAUCCUUCUGUUGCAACUCUUCUGAAACUUCAUCUCUACCUUUGCAGGGUUUGUCAUGAGGCAAAUGUUUUGAGCUAGUACACCAGCUUUCCUGACCAGCUAUUACUUUUGAUGGCUUUUUAGCUUUAGGUUUAUUCUUCAUAGAGCAAAGAUAGCAGUCAGUCCCACGCUUUCUGGGGAGAAGCAGGAUGUGGUUCUGCUUUUUAACUUUACUGCAUUAUAGGUAAUAAAUGGCUUUAAAAAAAUCACUGCACUGCAGAGUGCCUCUCUGUAUUCUCUGUAAGUGCUUUUUAUAGUGCUCUUGGCCAAAACAGUGCUACUCUGUAUGAUACAAUGACUGGAAUGUGGUUGGGGCAAUGGUCAAACAUUUGGGGCUCAACCUGUCUCACUUACUCUGUAAUUCCUGAGCAACUUUGUGUUAAUAAAGUUAGUAGGUUUGAAUUCCAGUAUAUAACAAUGCUUUGAACCUUAACUUUGGUGUGGUAGUGUUCAAACCAGGAUGGGUAGUAGUGUGUCUCUGACAGUGUGGGUGUCAUUGCAAAUUAUAUUCCAUGUGCUCUCUGCUACCUUGGGAAGGAACCCAUGAUGCAAACAGUACUGAAAACUAAGUGUCAUUGAUGUGAUGUGCCUGAUUCCCUGGUUAGACAAAUGGUAACAGUUGCCCACAAGUGUGGAACCUGAGCAAUCAGCAUCUGCAUAUGGUUUAAAUUGCAAACCUUUUGCUUGGCUCACUGAAGGAGGGUGAGGAGUACAACGUGGUGCUUUACUGCAUGUUUCCAGAAUCUGAAGAUGACUCUGAACUGUAGUGGUUGAGUGGUCUCAUGUUAAUGAAAGAGCUAAUCUCCUGAGCUCUGUUUUACACCGUUUCCCCUUAGCAGAAUUGUCUCUUUGCUGCUUUGCACUUCAGAUGACUUGUGUGAAGAUUUGAAUAAGGCUUCUGGCACAGGGACCAGAGAAGCUGGCAAACCUUGUGACUUCCACUUGAGGGGACUUCUUAUUAGCUUCUAUAUCCUUGUCUCAGCUGUGUUAAAACCACAGGCUCUAAGCAGAGCUUUCUGUCAUGUGAUACUGUGUAUACUUCUAAGUCAAUUUAUGGUAACGUUGCACCCCCAAAAUACAAGCGUUCAGCCUAUUUUCUUGUUGCUAUUGUUGUCUUCUAAGAAAAACACAUGGACAACAACUCCUACGUCUCAGAUGUGGUAUUUUUGUUUGACUGUGAGUGCCUUUAUUUUUGUUCAACCACAGCAAGCAGGAACAUCCCAUAUUAAUCUCCUAAUUUAAAUUUGAAAUGAAAAACUGUCACAACACUGGGGCCAUCCUUAAUUCAUGGAUUGUGCUGGCUGCACUCCAGCAGUGUAGCUAAUUACAUUCUGCCCACAUCAAGCUGUCCUUGCUGCGGUGGCUUUUUUUUUGUCAGUUGCUGGCUUGAAUUUUUGUGUAGUCUCUGCAGCCUGACUUCACAUUUUCAGUGCUAAUGGAAAGCUGCUUACAAUGACUAAGCAUCUCUCCCUGAAAGGGAAGCCCUUGGGUUGCUGGGCAGAGGCAGCACAGAGCUGGGUCGCAGCAAGCUGCCUUGGUUUGGUAGCUGUGUGCACUCAGCUCUG